UUGCAGCGGCCUACCAUGCAAGUCGGACGGUAGCACAGAGGAGCUUGCUCCUUGGGUGACGAGUGGCGGACGGGUGAGUAAUGUCUGGGGAUCUGCCCGAUAGAGGGGGAUAACCACUGGAAACGGUGGCUAAUACCGCAUAACGUCGCAAGACCAAAGAGGGGGACCUUCGGGCCUCUCACUAUCGGAUGAACCCAGAUGGGAUUAGCUAGUAGGCGGGGUAAUGGCCCACCUAGGCGACGAUCCCUAGCUGGUCUGAGAGGAUGACCAGCCACACUGGAACUGAGACACGGUCCAGACUCCUACGGGAGGCAGCAGUGGGGAAUAUUGCACAAUGGGCGCAAGCCUGAUGCAGCCAAGCCGCGUGUAUGAAGAAGGCCUUCGGGUUGUAAAGUACUUUCAGCGGGGAGGAAGGCGAUGCGGUUAAUAACCGCGUCGAUUGACGUUACCCGCAGAAGAAGCACCGGCUAACUCCGUGCCAGCAGCCGCGGUAAU
RNAcentral lists this ribosomal RNA (495 nucleotides) under uncultured bacterium. Its description in RNAcentral is "bacterial SSU rRNA". It matches the Rfam family "Bacterial small subunit ribosomal RNA", at positions 37 to 524 of the family's 1533-position model. The record is from RNAcentral.